RNAcentral lists this ribosomal RNA (245 nucleotides) under uncultured bacterium. RNAcentral describes it as "partial 16S ribosomal RNA". It matches the Rfam family "Bacterial small subunit ribosomal RNA", at positions 524 to 767 of the family's 1533-position model. The record is from RNAcentral.
UACGGGGGGGGCAAGCGUUGUUCGGAAUUACUGGGCGUAAAGGCUCGUAGGCGGCCAACUAAGUCGGACGUGAAAUCCCCAGGCUCAACCUGGGAACUGCGUCUGAUACUGGAUGGCUUGAAUUCGGGAGAGGGAUGCAGAAUUCCAGGGUGUAGCGGUGAAAUUCGUAGAUAUUAGCUAGAACACCAGUGGCGAAGGCGGCCAACUGGUCCGACGACUGACGCUGAGGUGCGAAAGCGUGGGGA